Molecule: ribosomal RNA, 321 nt
Filed under: Synechococcus sp. KUAC 3087
Lineage: Bacteria; Bacillati; Cyanobacteriota; Cyanophyceae; Synechococcales; Synechococcaceae
Description: bacterial SSU rRNA
Rfam family: Bacterial small subunit ribosomal RNA
Source: RNAcentral
AGGCCUCUGGGCUGUAAACCUCUUUUCUCAAGGAAGAAGAUCUGACGGUACUUGAGGAAUAAGCCACGGCUAAUUCCGUGCCAGCAGCCGCGGUAAUACGGGAGUGGCAAGCGUUAUCCGGAAUUAUUGGGCGUAAAGCGUCCGCAGGCGGCCCUUCAAGUCUGCUGUUAAAACGUGGAGCUUAACUCCAUCAUGGCAGUGGAAACUGUUGGGCUCGAGUGUGGUAGGGGCAAAGGGAAUUCCCGGUGUAGCGGUGAAAUGCGUAGAUAUCGGGAAGAACACCAGUGUCGAAGGCGCUCUGCUGGGCCAUUACUGACCCUC